This 1489-nucleotide long non-coding RNA is filed under the name Rattus norvegicus (Norway rat). Its description in RNAcentral is "long non-coding RNA NONRATT009055". Lineage: Eukaryota; Metazoa; Chordata; Mammalia; Rodentia; Muridae. The record is from RNAcentral.
GCAGUAGAUGUGAGUUCAGGCCAGCCAAGGUCGCACAGCUAUAGCAUAAAAAUAAAAAAAUACACAGGGGCAUGUAGCUCAUUAAAGAACUUGGCUAUCGUAGAAGAAUCCUUCAUUUCAGUCCCCAGCAGUGUUCACACUGGUGUUUCAUCCGAGUAAUCCCAACACCCAAGCAAUCAGGAUAUGAAUGUAGGAGGAUCAGAAGUUUAAAGUUGUCCUUAGCUUCAUAAUUCAAGGCCAGCUUGGGUUAUGUGAAUUUUGUUAGAUAAAAAUUUCUUGGGCAAAUUGUGACUGUCGGUACAAUUUUUUUUUUUUUAAUGUAGUCCUGCUAUAUGCAGCACUGGCUGACCCUCAAACAACAGUGCCAUAGGCAAGACUUGGUGUGCUUUUGAUGUCUACAGGUGGCUUUGGUUCACAGCCCUAGCUGACCUGCAGAUGGUGACCUUGAGUGCAUCCUUUCCCUAAGUGGGCUGGGAUUAUGGCCCCCUCUUAUCUUUUAAAAACAUGUAUUCGGCUGGAGAGAUGGCUCAGCGGUUAAGAGCACUGACUGCUCUUCCAGAGGUCUGCAUUCAAUUCCCAGCAACCACAUGUUGGCUCACAACCUUCUGUAAUAAGAUCCUAUGCCCUCUUCUGGUGUGUCUGAAGACAGCGACAGUGUACUUAUAUAUAAUAAAUCUUUUUUUUCUUUUAAGUCUUCAUUUUGAGGUGAUUUCACUAUGUAGCCAGGUUGACACAAGGAGUUCAUAAUUUUUCUUCAUCCCCCCCCAAUGCUGUGAUUACUGGUCCUUAGCUGGUUCUUCUCCACUGGGUUUGCACUGGAGCACCAAAGCCUCAGAGCUUGCAAAGCACCUCCACCACCCAGGACUGUGGUUUGUCCCUCUGCCCAGUUUACAAGUGGGACACGCUAUGGUGGUUCUACUUAAGUUUUAGGCAAGCCAGACUACUAGUACACUUCCUUCCGGGUGCGCUUUAUUUCCUUUAUAAAAUGGCUUUUGACUGUUUAGCACAUUGUUCCUGUAUAGAAGUGUAAGUAAGUGAACUUAGCGGUCAGUGUGCAUACAUGUCUGAACUGCCAAUCUAAUGCAUGCUAACUAGUAUUUGACUUGUUCUCAUAUUCCUGUAAGACGGAUUGUUUGUUCCUGUUUACAAAGCAGUGGAUUUUGGAGAGAGAAAAAAACACAAGCUAAGGUAUGUCUUCUCAGCAUUUGGAGGAUGGAGACAAGGAUCAGGAACUAAAAGUCAAUAGUGAGUUUGAGACAAGGCUGGGCUUUUUUCAAAACAGGGUCUCACUGUAACCCUGGCUGUCAGGAUGGCCUCAAAUUCACACAUCCCCCUCCCUGCCUCUGCCUCUCAAGUACUGGAAUUAAAGGUAUGUGCCACUAGGCCCUGCUUGAGAACUGACUUAAAAGUUGUCCACUGACCUCUAUGUGCAUGCUGUGUUGUCGUCUAUCCCCCCCUCCCCUCAAAUAAUAAAAUUUGAAAAAUAACC